GAGACAGCUUCGACUCAGCAGCAUGGCUCGUCCUUUCCCAGAUCAAAGCCCUGCGCCAGAGAGACAGCCCCACAGCACAGAGUGUCCUUUCUGGAACAUCCAGCUCCGGGGGAGACUUGAGCUGGAGCCACAACCUUGCCACCUGUAGCCAAUGGCUUGACAUGCGAAGGCUCUCACAGGCUGGGGAGCCUGCAGCUGCUCAAACAACAGAUCAACGAAAGAUCAGACAACAUGGGGAAGAGAAUUUUCCACCUUGAGCGAUAGAAAGCUCAGAUCAGCUAGUCUGAGAAAACAUCGCAUCCAGCUAAUCCUAACUCUAUGGAGUGUAGAAAGGGGAUGGCAAUCGGUACAGGGUCAUGGUUAAGAGCACAAGCUCUGAAGCCAAGCUGUUUGCCUUUGAUGCUCUACUCUGCCAUUUCUUAGCUGUGUGAGCUCAGGCAGGCUACUGGACUUCUCUGUGCCUUGGUUCCCUCACCUGCAAAAUGGACCUAAUAGUACCUACUCCAUAGGAUUUAAUGAUGACUGGCCCAUAAGAAAGCUCUAGAAAGGUUGUGGGUACUAUUUGAAGUCACACAGUCCUAGGUCUGAAUGGCUUCUGCUACUUGGUGUUUUUGUGAACUUGGAGAAAUGACAAUUUUGGGGCAACUUCCCCUUCUGUAAGAUGGAUUUUAAUAUGGUCCUGGCAGUGUUGCCAUGGGGAUUCAUUUUCUAUGGCACACAGUAGGCAUUCAGUAAACACCGCCUCUGAUUAUUAUCAUUUUUCCUGGUUUCCAAAGGAGAAAGCCCACAGGACUGACUAGACUGGAAGAAACACAACCAGUAAAACUUCGGAUGCUCUUAAAGCCCCAAAGCUUCAUCUACAUGCAAAAGAGAUACAUCCCUGGGGAUGACUGGGUCCUGGGGGCUUUAAAUACACAACCAGUUUUAUUCUGAGAGAGAAAAGGGAAACUGGAAGAGUUCCCAAAUUCAACAUCUGCAAGCGGAGAGGAUGACGAAAUGCAUUAGUCCUGAGGAGUAACUUUCUCCCAUCUUCUCGGAAAACAUCUGGGGCAUUACCCUCCCCUCCACUCAUUCCCCCACCUCCCACCCAAAGCUGACUCUUGGCUGACAGUUUAUCAGAGAUAAAUGGAAACACCUGGGAGCCAGAUAAGGCCAACUGAGUGUGACCAGCGGAGGAGCCCUCGGGGACGCAUGCCACUCAAUAUUUCUUUUUCUUCACCAGGCAGGGUGGGAGCACGAUCUAGCUUGUGACGGAUGGCAAGGCUCCCUUUCACGUUCAUUCUUUCCUUCAUUCAUUCCAAACAACCUCAAGAGGUCGGCUGGCCCAGCUUCCUGCCUGAGAACUGCUGUUCUGAGAAGCACACGUCCGGAAAUGUUACUGAUCCACAUGGUGGGUGCACGCAGGAUCCGAGUGCCGUGCCUCAGGAAACAAGCUCCCUCUCCAUCCUCCUUGCCUUCUCUUCAGCCCACCAGCAUAUAGAAGUUCCUGGGAAUGCCCAAGAUGCAGAUGUGGAGUAACCAGCCCUGGAAUCCCAGUCCCAGCUACUGUCUGCCUUAAAGUGGGAAAGACUGAUGGUUAUCCUGCAAAAUUCUUUCUCCCUUUCUGCUUUAAUAAAAGAAACUCUAAUUUUUGGCUGACCAUGUAGCCAUUCUGAGUAAAGCUACAGUUCUCAACCUCCUUUCCACCUAGGUGUACAACUACAGGAAGUGCUGUGUGCAACAUCUAGGAACUGUAUUUAAAGGGAAGGAACAUGCUCUUCUUUCUCUUUUUUCCCUCUCUGCUUCCGGAAUAAGGAUGUGAUGAUAGGAGCUUGAGCAGCCAUCUUGGAUCAUGUGGUAGAAGCCACAUGCUCAGCAAGAUAGAAGGAGAUUAGGUCCCUGAUGUUGUAGAGUGAGAUGUCAACUCAAGAUUGACACAUCUGGGUUCCUUUGACCUGAAAUAGAAAUAAACAGUUUUUAAAAAUUAUUUAAGCCACUGUUAUUUUGGGGUUUCUGCCACCUCAGCAGAAUCUAAUCCUAACUGCUUUGGCUCCUCUCUUCAGCUAAUCCCCUCAGCUCUCUCAAGAGUAAACUAAAAGAUUUAUUCCUAGAACAGUUUAUUUCCUAGAACAACCUUUCAGAAAGCCAUCUUGACUGGGAACAAGUUAGCAUCAGAAGGACCCCACUGAAGUGUCUCUCCUAAUGACCAUCUGCACCUCUGUUCAGACUCUCUCCCACCCAAGACCUUUCACAAGGAGAGCAGGAGAUGAGAGUUGGCGGGGCAAGCCUCCACACCACAGUGAUUAGCACACCAACCGACCCAGCCUGGGUGGUCUAGCCCGAGUGGCCAUGUGUUUUCCCACUCUUUGCCCCAAAGAACCAUUCCCUGAAUUUGCCAAACUGUUGGUCCUCAUGUGUUCACUUGGCUGCACUCCCAUUCGCUAUUAGUGCCUUUCCCACAUGAACCAUCCAAUUUGUUCUUUAGUGUAUACGCACCAUCUAUUCUGACAGGCGUCAGUGUGAUAUGGUUCAGAUUCAGCUUCGCAAACUAACACAGAUAUUCCAAUCCACUACCAUGGCUCUGCCAGUCUACUCCAUGUUUAAAUCCUUAGUGCCAAGGCUAGUCAUUGAAACAAAGGCCAAACUUGGGCUAUGUCACCCACAGAUACUCCCUGAGCUGGGGGAGCUCUAGGCCAAUGAUCGUUGGCUAAAAUUUGGUUCUCUGGGAGAAACUAAGGUAUGAUCAUGGGUGGGCAAUCCAAUGGGUGUACUUAAAGUUGUGAUGAAUCUUUUUUCAUCUCUGUUUAUAAGAUACGUGAAGAAUAGAGGUUAAUUAUUUGUAUUUCCUGAGGGCAAAACUCUGUGUAUACACAAGUGCUUGAUUGUAAGCCUUCCUUUUUGUCCACUCCUUUGUUGUAGCAGUUCUCCAAUGCCUGGAAUUAGAUGGAGCUCAGGCACACACUUGUCCUCUGUCAUCCGACAGCAUGGUGCGUGAGGGGCCUCUGCAGCUCCCGCAGUUCCUGGCUUAGUGCAGCAGGUAAGAAAGAGCAAGCGCUGUGGAGUCAGACAGCCUUGGUCUUGAAUCUUGAAUAGCUGUGUAACUCUGAACAAAUUACUUAAUCUUGCUGAGACUCAAUUUCCCCAUGCAAAAAAUAAGGAUAAUGAUACAUACCUUUUAGGUAGGGUCGAGGAUUAAAUUAGAUGGUGCAUGAAGUUGUUAGCAAAUGGGAGCUGUGGCUAAAUCACAGAGACACAGGCAUUAGGUGUACAAGAAAUGUGGAACCAAAUGGAGUUGUUGAGAAGCAAAAUCCAUUCUCCCUAAUUUAUGAAUUCUUCUGUGCAUCACCAGGUCCCCAUUCUAAGAUAUUCAGUCAUUUGUUAUUUAUGAUCCAAACAGUAUUAAUCUCACACUAUCUACCAGGGACUGGAAGAGAAGCUAGGGACCCUGAGACAUGUUGGGCAUGGUCCUUGCCCUUGGAAUGCUUGGAAUCUAGGAGAGGGCAAGCAGGCAAACCAGUAAGUGCUAUAGCGUGAUAGUGCUGUGCUGGAAGGGUUAGAGAAUCCAGUGAGCGCCUAAAGAAAGGAGUAGUCAGCUCUGCCGGGGAGAUGGGGAUGUGAAGACAGCGAAGUCAGAAAAGGCUUCAAAGAAUUGACCUUGAAUCGGACCUUGACAAAUAAGUCAGUAUUUUUCAGGCAGACCAUCCUCAGCAAAAGCAGCAGUGUGAGCCAAGGCAACAAGGAGACGUGCGUCAGGCUGGUUUGGGGGGGAAAUGGCAAGUAAUUUCCCCCUGCUGAGGGUCCACGAGGAGCAGAGAGCAGGGCGAGAGUUGCAGUUGGAAAUGGAGCAGAGGCCAGCUGGGGAACUUGGUUCCCAUCCUAUAAACAGAAAGGAACUCACUCAACAAACGCCAUUCAAGCCCCAAAGAGAUGGGGAGAGACACCCAGAGAAGGGACUGUGACACGAGAGCAACCAGGUUUCCCAGGAUUCAAAGACAAUGGAGCAGUUGUGUUCACCUACCUGGGCUGUAGCGCCCUUGUCUUGUGCAUCCCCUCCAAUCCCCAGCAGCAUCCCAUGUUGUGGUCCACUCCCUCCCUCAGCAAGCAUCGCCCACCUGGUGUUUCUGUUUCCUCAAGAAUCAGUUGUCUGCUAGAUGAUGGUUGAUUAUCUAACUAAUAAAUCCCCGUGAUCCCGUCAGUACAUGUCAGUUUGUUAUUUAUUCCACGCUGUAGAUUUCCAUUUAAAUGGGGACUUUGUGAGCAAUGUUUUAAACCAAAUGGAUCAAAACCCUAGUGAUAGCGUUGCAAGCACCCUGGCAACUCCAUGAAGGGGCAAUUUUUGCACAAGAAACUGGUGUCUUAUCACUAGUUCUGGGCUGUGAAAGCAACUGCUUUCUUGAUGUUUGUUGCCAACAAAAAGGUUUUCAGAAAAAAAAUGAUUGGCCCAUACAAAGGCUGAGAAAACAUACGGUGAUACUUAUAAGCACAAUUAUGGAAGCUUUGACUCUCUCUCUGUGACUGGCAUGCGGUGGCUGCUUAAUGCAUGAUGAAAGGGAAGAAGGGAGAUAGGAAGGAACGGAAGAAGAGAGGGGACGCGCUCGAAUCCAUAAUCUCUUUUUACAUAGCUUGUGGAAUGGAACUUGGUGGCUAAAAAUAGAUAUUUUUCUACUCCUAAGGGGGCGAGACAGG
This 4665-nucleotide long non-coding RNA is filed under the name Equus caballus (horse). RNAcentral's name for it is "lncRNA (ENSECAG00000040468.2)". The record is from RNAcentral. Lineage: Eukaryota; Metazoa; Chordata; Mammalia; Perissodactyla; Equidae.